Molecule: ribosomal RNA, 468 nt
Filed under: uncultured bacterium
Lineage: Bacteria
Description: partial 16S ribosomal RNA
Rfam family: Bacterial small subunit ribosomal RNA
Source: RNAcentral
GACGAACGCUGGCGGCGUGCUUAACACAUGCAAGUCGAACGGAAAGGCCCUGCUUUUGUGGGGUGCUCGAGUGGCGAACGGGUGAGUAACACGUGAGUAACCUGCCCUUGACUUUGGGAUAACUUCAGGAAACUGGGGCUAAUACCGGAUAGGAGCUCCUGCUGCAUGGUGGGGGUUGGAAAGUUUCGGCGGUUGGGGAUGGACUCGCGGCUUAUCAGCUUGUUGGUGGGGUAGUGGCUUACCAAGGCUUUGACGGGUAGCCGGCCUGAGAGGGUGACCGGCCACAUUGGGACUGAGAUACGGCCCAGACUCCUACGGGAGGCAGCAGUGGGGAAGAUUGCACAAUGGGCGGAAGCCUGAUGCAGCAACGCAGCGUGCGGGAUGACGGCCUUCGGGUUGUAAACCGCUUUCGCCUGUGACGAAGCGUGAGUGACGGGAAUGGGUAAAGAAGCACCGGCUAACUACGUG